Molecule: ribosomal RNA, 253 nt
Filed under: uncultured prokaryote
Description: partial 16S ribosomal RNA
Rfam family: Bacterial small subunit ribosomal RNA
Source: RNAcentral
UACAGAGGGUGCGAGCGUUAAUCGGAAUUACUGGGCGUAAAGCGCGCGUAGACGGUUUUGUAAGUCAGAUGUGAAAUCCCUGGGCUCAACCUGGGAACUGCAUUUGAGACUGCAUGGCUAGAGUAUGGAAGAGGGAAGUGGGAUUUCCGGUGUAGCGGUGAAAUGCGUAGAUAUCGGAAGGAACACCAGUGGCGAAGGCGGUUACCUGGGCUUGUUCUGACGCUGAGGCACAAAAGCUGGGGGAGCAAACGGG